GUCGAGUGGGUUUAGACCCACGGCAGACGAGGUAGUAACACGUGGGUACCUACCCUCAAGUCAGGGAUAUACCGUCGAAAGACGGAGCAAUACUUGAUAGUCUCUACGGAGUAAAGAUUUAUCGCUUGAGGAGGGGCCUGCGCAAUAUCAGCUAGUUGGUGAGGUAAUGGCUCACCAAGGCUAUGACGUUUAGGGGAGCUGAGAGGCUGACCCCCACCGAGGGAACUGAGACACGGUCCCUACUUCUACGGAGGGCAGCAGCCGAGAAUAUUCGACAAUGGACGAAAGUCUGAUCGAGUGACGCCGCGUGGUGGAUGAAGUCCUUCGGGACGUAAACACCUUUUAUUGGGGAUGAAGUUUUGACAGUACCCAAGGAAUAAGGGGCUCCUAACUCUGUGCCAGCA
Molecule: ribosomal RNA, 404 nt
Filed under: uncultured bacterium
Lineage: Bacteria
Description: bacterial SSU rRNA
Rfam family: Bacterial small subunit ribosomal RNA
Source: RNAcentral